This 62-nucleotide transfer RNA is filed under the name Lasioglossum villosulum. RNAcentral describes it as "tRNA-Gly". Lineage: Eukaryota; Metazoa; Arthropoda; Insecta; Hymenoptera; Halictidae. The record is from RNAcentral. RNAcentral also lists the same sequence under 1 other name.
AUAUAUAUAGUAUAAAUAAUAUAUUUAAUUUCCAAUUAAAAGAUUUUCUAAAAAUAUAUAUA